RNAcentral lists this ribosomal RNA (489 nucleotides) under uncultured bacterium. RNAcentral describes it as "bacterial SSU rRNA". It matches the Rfam family "Bacterial small subunit ribosomal RNA", at positions 27 to 507 of the family's 1533-position model. The record is from RNAcentral.
GAUGAAACGCUAGCGACAGGCCUAACACAUGCAAGUCGAGGGGCAGCACAUGAGUAGCAAUACGAUGGUGGCGACCGGCGCACGGGUGAGUAACACGUAUGCAACCUGCCUUCUACUAUGGGAUAACCCGUUGAAAGACGGACUAAUACCGUAUAAUACAGGGGCUCCGCAUGGAGAUAUUUGUUAAAGAUUUAUUGGUAGAAGAUGGGCAUGCGUAUGAUUAGAUAGUUGGUGAGGUAACGGCUCACCAAGUCAACGAUCAUUAGGGGUUCUGAGAGGAAGGUCCCCCACACUGGUACUGAGACACGGACCAGACUCCUACGGGAGGCAGCAGUGAGGAAUAUUGGUCAAUGGACGAGAGUCUGAACCAGCCAAGUCGCGUGAAGGAAGACGGUUCUAUGAAUUGUAAACUUCUUUUGUGCAGGAAUAAAGUGGGUUACGUGUAACCUUUUGUAUGUACUGUACGAAUAAGGAUCGGCUAACUCCGUG